CCUACGUGUGGCAGCAGUGAGGAAUAUUGGUCAAUGGGCGGAAGCCUGAACCAGCCAAGUAGCGUGUAGGAUGACGGCCCUACGGGUUGUAAACUGCUUUUAUACGGGAAUAACGCGCCUUACGUGUAGGGCUUUGCAUGUACCGUAUGAAUAAGGACCGGCUAAUUCCGUGCCAGCAGCCGCGGUAAUACGGAAGGUCCGGGCGUUAUCCGGAUUUAUUGGGUUUAAGGGGAGCGUAGGCCGCAUGUCAAGCGUGCUGUGAAAUGUCCGGGCUCAACCCGGGCCUUGCAGCGCGAACUGGCGUGCUGGAGUCCGCGGAAAGCAGGCGGAAUUCGUCGUGUAGCGGUGAAAUGCUUAGAUAUGACGAAGAACCCCGAUUGCGAAGGCAGCUUGCUGCAGCGGAACUGACGCUGAUGCUCGAAAGCGCGGGUAUCGAACAGGAUUAGAUACCCGGGUAGUC
This 460-nucleotide ribosomal RNA is filed under the name uncultured bacterium. Its description in RNAcentral is "partial 16S ribosomal RNA". It matches the Rfam family "Bacterial small subunit ribosomal RNA", at positions 338 to 795 of the family's 1533-position model. The record is from RNAcentral.